Long non-coding RNA from Salvia splendens (bonfire salvia), 1017 nucleotides. RefSeq lists it as uncharacterized. The record is from RefSeq and is a predicted model, not a curated record. NCBI's taxonomy places the organism in Eukaryota, Viridiplantae, Streptophyta, Magnoliopsida, Lamiales, Lamiaceae. The transcript is spliced from 2 exons.
UAACCAUGGAGAGAAUAGAAUUGAAGUCAUUCACAAUGUAGUCUUUAAAGUUCUUCCCGUCUUUUACUUUCCGCAAUAAUCUUUUAUUUUCCGCAUUAUAUUUCUAAUAGUUCUAAUUUGAUUUUGAGCAGAGGCGAUUAGGUUUCGUUUCGUUUGAGAGGCAAAUCAGUCUAUCUUCAACGAAUGGGUAAAUUCAAAGAUGACAAGAGCUCGUCUUCUUCUCCUCGAGGUGCUUUUUUCCGUUUAAUAGUUCAUUUUGUUGUGAGCGUGGAGUAGGAAUUGUGGAGUAGAGGAUCCGCUCUGAGAGAUUUUGAGACUUCGGAUUAUUGUGCAGAUGAAUCGAUGAGCAAAAGUCGUAGAUCUCAUAGAUCUUUCGAGCACCAUUCCUGUAAAGAUCUAAGCUUAUUCAAAGUUCGAUUUCGAUUGGUUAAUUGUUGAGAAUUUGGAUGAUAUUCGCCAAAAGGCGAAGGAUGCUUUCUUUGGCCACAAAGGAAGGAUGUUCGAGUACGAGGAUGUCUGGGAAGCAACCCCAAGCUUUUCAGCGGUUCCGAGGCUUCUAGUGUCCCGAAGAGAGCCUGGGUCUCCACCUCCGGACAGGACUCUGUGAGUGGUGCCUCCAUCGAUCUUGAUACUGCAAUGGAGGAGACGUCGGAGAGGCGACCAAUGGACACUAAAGCGGCCAAGAGGAAGGGGAAGGCUGUGGUGGCUCCAAGCAUUGCACUCGCUCAAGACCCUCAACUCGAUGAGUACUCUGCUAGAAUGGAAAAGCUAAAAAACGCAAUACUGAACAAAAAGAUGCUAGCACGAGAUAUGUCGUCUAUGAGCUAAAAGUAUAGGAAAUGGCAUCAAGAGCUGCUUGAUUUAGUUAGAAGCCAAGUAAUUCAGAAGUAAUUUAUGAUUUUAAACUUCCAGUAAGUUCCCAUGCCAACCUCUGUAGCUAAUGUUCUUGUCUCAUGAAGUUCACAAGAUAUUCUCCUAAUCAUUGAGUAAUGUUCAAAAUGUUACUACUUUCUGCAA